Molecule: ribosomal RNA, 610 nt
Filed under: uncultured bacterium
Lineage: Bacteria
Description: bacterial SSU rRNA
Rfam family: Bacterial small subunit ribosomal RNA
Source: RNAcentral
GAUGAACGCUGGCGGUAUGCUUUACACAUGCAAGUCGUACGAGAGUUUUUAACUCUAGUGGCGGACGGGUGAGUAACACGUAAGAAUUUGCCUUUAGGAGGGGGAUAACAACUGGAAACGGUUGCUAAUACCCCAUAUGCUUUCGAGUGAAAUGGAUUUCCGCCUAAAGAGAAGCUUGCGGCUGAUUAGCUUGUUGGUGAGGUAAUGGCUCACCAAGGCGACGAUCAGUAUCUGGUUUGAGAGGACGAUCAGACACACUGGAACUGAGACACGGUCCAGACUCCUACGGGAGGCAGCAGUGGGGAAUUUUCCGCAAUGGGCGAAAGCCUGACGGAGCAAUACCGCGUGAGGGAUGAAAGCCUAUGGGUUGUAAACCUCUUUUUUCAGGGAGGAACAAAAUGACGUGUACCUGAAGAAUAAGCAUCGGCUAACUCCGUGCCAGCAGCCGCGGUAAGACGGGGGAUGCAAGUGUUAUCCGGAAUCACUGGGCGUAAAGCGUCUGUAGGUGGUUAAGUAAGUCAACUGUUAAAUCUUGAGGCUUAACCUCAAAAUCGCAGUCGAAACUGCUUGACUAGAGUAUAGUAGGGGUAAAGGGAAUUUCCAGUGGAGC